GCUUGCUAAUAAUUCUCUAGUGGCGCACGGGUGAGUAACACGUGAGUACCUGCCCCCAAGAGUGGGAUAGCCCCGGGAAACUGGGAUUAAUACCGCAUAAAGCAAUAAAGCAGCAAUGCGCUUGGGGAUGGGCUCGCGUCCUAUUAGUUAGUUGGUGAGGUAACGGCUCACCAAGGCGAUGACGGGUAGCCGGUCUGAGAGGAUGUCCGGCCACACUGGAACUGAGACACGGUCCAGACACCUACGGGUGGCAGCAGUCGAGAAUCAUUCACAAUGGGGGAAACCCUGAUGGUGCGACGCCGCGUGGGGGAUAAGGUCUUCGGAUUGUAAACCCCUGUCAUGUGGGACAUUAAAAGAUAGUACCACAAGAGGAAGAGACGGCUAACUCUGUGCCAGCAGCCGCGGUAAUACAGAGGUCUCAAGCGUUGUUCGGAAUCACUGGGCGUAAAGCGUGCGUAGGCGGUUUCGUAAGUCGUGUGUGAAAGGCGGGGGCUCAACCCCCGGACUGCACAUGAUACUGCGAGACUAGAGUAAUGGAGGGGGAACCGGAAUUCUCGGUGUAGCAGUGAAAUGCGUAGAUAUCGAGAGGAACACUCGUGGCGAAGGCGG
This 609-nucleotide ribosomal RNA is filed under the name uncultured bacterium. RNAcentral's name for it is "bacterial SSU rRNA". It matches the Rfam family "Bacterial small subunit ribosomal RNA", at positions 74 to 724 of the family's 1533-position model. The record is from RNAcentral.